UUAGCUGAGAGGUGGUGCAUGGCCGUCGUCAGUUCGUACUGUGAAGCAUCCUGUUAAGUCAGGCAACGAGCGAGACCCACGUCCACAGUUGCCAGCAUACCCUCCGGGGUGAUGGGUACACUGUGGAGACCGCCGCUGCUAAAGCGGAGGAAGGAGUGGGCAACGGUAGGUCAGUAUGCCCCGAAUCUCCCGGGCUACACGCGGGCUACAAUGGUUGGUACAGUGGGCAUCUACCCCGAAAGGGGAAGGAAAUCUCUUAAAGCCAAUCGUAGUUCGGAUUGAGGGCUGCAACUCGCCCUCAUGAAGCUGGAAUCCGUAGUAAUCGCGUUUCAACAGAACGCGGUGAAUACGUCCCUGCUCCUU
RNAcentral lists this ribosomal RNA (363 nucleotides) under uncultured Methanosaeta sp. Its description in RNAcentral is "bacterial SSU rRNA". It matches the Rfam family "Archaeal small subunit ribosomal RNA", at positions 976 to 1338 of the family's 1478-position model. The record is from RNAcentral. Lineage: Archaea; Methanobacteriati; Methanobacteriota; Methanomicrobia; Methanotrichales; Methanotrichaceae.